AAGCGGGGCUCUUUAAUUGUUCUUGUUGCAGAACAAUUCUCAGCAUCUCAGAUCUAAUCUCAGCUGUCUGCUAAACCAUACCAGCAUUCUGCACGUGGGAGAUGCUCCGCUCCGCUGCGAGUGCCACCAGCCAGGUGGGCACGGCUGACACCUGCACGGAUAUUUCCCUGCUGUCGCACACAUUCCCUCUAAGAGCUCUUUUUAAAGACCUGAAACCGUUCUGGCAUCCUCUUACCAUGCUGCACACGUCCUGCAGGGACCCUCCGACAAAUCCCGCUGAUUUUAUUUGACACCGCUCUCAAUCGAAGCAGCUCCAGCCUCUAUCUUUCUCCUCUGCUCAAUAAUCGCAGCUGCAGGAGCGGUGCAUCAUUACGUGCUGAUCAAAGGGAAAUGCAGAAGGCAGACUGGUGAAUUAAAGUCUGAUUUAAUUGUGCCAAGAACUGUCAUAGAGGGAUUGUUAAAACGUAUCUGGAGCAGGUAAAGAAGUUGUUCCGAGUGACCUAAAUAACAUUAUUUCUCAGUGCUGAUGUGCUGCAAUAUGCAGAUCCAAUGCUGUCUUUCAUUGAGGAGAUGCUGCUGGGACAAAGGUGGGUGUUGGAGGAAUGGAGACCACAGCACUGCUUCACUGACACCUUUCUUCCUCCUCAGCAAGCACAGUGUGGCAGCCUCAGGAGUGGCACAGGGAGGUCCCACUGGGUGACCAAGGGGACGUGGGCAGCUCUGACACGGCAGAAUGGGCGUAUAAAGGAUGAGUGGAACAAAGUGGGAAAAACAAACAGCCCGGCCACGGGGAAGUGAAGCUGGUUUUGGCUGCGCUUUGAGCUUUAAUAACGCAAGGUGCUCUCCACGAGGUGCAGAAGGACACGGCUUUGACACGUACCAUUUUUUAUCUGGCUGUGCCCCUUUAACUGCUCUCAUUUCAGGGCCGUUCCGGAGCAGGUUGAAGCGAUCCAUCUCCUCUCUCCAAGGUCCUCCGCCUCUUCUCCUGCUCACUUCACAGCGCCGUUCCUCUCCCUGCAGCCUCCCUGUGUGGAUGCUCUGUGCCAGGCAUGGGGAUGAUCCUUGGUGUGAGCUGUCCCUGCUUCGGGAACCAUCUGACAGCAGUGGGAUGGGGGCAUGGCAGUCCCGGGUGCUGGGGGUGUGGAGCAAUGGGCACACAGGGCCAUGUGUCGGUGACACGGUCUCUUGGCAGGUGCUGGGACGGAGAUGUGGACGUUCUGGUGUCUCACCCUUCUUGGAGUCCUCCUACCCCCCUGCUGGGGGCUUCUCAGCUUGGGGAGCAUCCUGGGCUCCAGCCCUGCGCAGCCCUCGAAUGCAGUGAAAGUCUGCUUGGUAAUUGGGAUUGCUUGCUGCAGGAGGUCUGCUGGGCACCGGCCUCCUCGGGGAAGGUGGACUGCUGGGCACUGGGCUCCUGGGCAGGAAGAACCCAAGCAGAGAUGGCAGCGAAGGCACUGGAGGUGAACCCCAGGGCGCGGGGCUCCUUGGCACAGGGCUGCUGGGUGAGGUGGAUCUGCAGUGUGCACACACUUGGGGGAAGAGGGCUCCUGGCAGCCAAUCUGGCACAGUGACACAGUCUGACUAUUGCAGGAGGACAGCCUGGUGGCAGCGGUCUGCUCGGCACGGGGCUCCUCGGUGGGGAAGGACUCCUUGGCAGUGGUGUCCUUGGAGAGAAGGGUCUGCUCGGCACAGGGCUGCUCGGCCAAGGAGGCAAUGGAAGUCUGCUUGGGCUAGAUGGGCUCCUGGGGCAAGAAGGACUGCUGGGACAAGGAGGUCUUGGAGAACUGCUGGGACAAGGAGGGAGCAGUGCUGCUGUCCCUCAACCAUCGCAGCGCUUUGCCUGGUGAGUGGGAGCAGAUGCACAGCAGCGGUGUUCACUGCAGAGCUUUGCUCCAUACACCGACUUCCCUGACCUGGUG
Molecule: long non-coding RNA, 1916 nt
Organism: Phasianus colchicus (ring-necked pheasant)
Lineage: Eukaryota; Metazoa; Chordata; Aves; Galliformes; Phasianidae
Source: Ensembl